CCAGCUACUUGGGAGGCUGAGGCAGGAGAAUCGCUUGAACCUGGGAGGAGGAGGUUGCAGUGAGCCGAGAUGGCACCAAUGCACUACAGACUGGGCUACCAGAGUGAAACUCUGACUCAAAAAAAAAAAAAAAAAAAAAA
Molecule: long non-coding RNA, 140 nt
Organism: Cebus imitator (Panamanian white-faced capuchin)
Lineage: Eukaryota; Metazoa; Chordata; Mammalia; Primates; Cebidae
Exons: 2
Source: RefSeq, a predicted model, not a curated record